UGCAAGUCGAACGAAGUAUGUUUUUCGAAAUAUACUUAGUGGCGGACGGGUGAGUAACGCGUGAACAAUCUGCCCUGUACAAAGGAAUAGCCUCGGGAAACUGGGAUUAAAACCGUAUAACACUUUUUGACCGCAUGGUUGAGAAGUCAAAUUGAUUAAGAGGUAUGGGAUGAGUUCGCGUCUGAUUAGCUAGUUGGUAAGGUAAAGGCUUACCAAGGCGACGAUCAGUAGCCGGCCUGAGAGGGUGAACGGCCACACUGGAACUGAGACACGGUCCAGACUCCUACGGGAGGCAGCAGUGGGGAAUAUUGCACAAUGGAGGAAACUCUGAUGCAGCGACGCCGCGUGAGUGAAGAAGGUCUUCGGAUCGUAAAACUCUGUCCUUGGUGAAGAAAGAAAUGACGGUAGCCAAGGAGGAAGCCCCGGCUAACUACGUGCCAGCAGCCGCGGUAAUACGUAGGGGGCGAGCGUUGUCCGGAUUUACUGGGCGUAAAGGGUGAGUAGGCGGUAAUAUGUGUCA
Molecule: ribosomal RNA, 520 nt
Filed under: uncultured bacterium
Lineage: Bacteria
Description: bacterial SSU rRNA
Rfam family: Bacterial small subunit ribosomal RNA
Source: RNAcentral